CAUCACCUGGCAAACUGAUCCAGCACAGUUUAUCUAAUAACUUUCUAUCUCCAUUUCUAGAGAAAUCAUCAGUGAUAAGAAUUAUCAAGUUGAUUCUGGUGGUUGUGAUGCCAAUUGCUCUACUUCUGUUUUGUCUGAGGAAGAAGAAAACUCUGAGCUCCACUGCUGAACCAAAUGAACAGAUAGAGACUAUAGAGUUGAUGUCUGGUCCUGAUUGUACCAACGCCUCAGCCUUGAACCAAAACUGUAUGUGACUUUCUUCAGAUGGAAUCAAACCAGAGGGGACUCACCUGGAUCGGAACAAAGAAAAGCCACUGAAGUAGUCCAGUGUAGAACGAGGGAAGGUGGAGGAAGUGGAUACAUUUACCUUCAAGGAACGUUUUCAUUUUUAGUUUUUAUUAGCAGCAGCAUAUAUUUUUACCUGUGCAGGUACAUUACAUACGCUCAGUAUUUAACUCAGUAUGUAAAAUAUUAUUUAAAGUUUUAAUGUAAUAAAUAGUUUUUAAGAAAUACUGGUUGCCCUUUCACGUCA
Molecule: long non-coding RNA, 532 nt
Organism: Micropterus dolomieu (smallmouth bass)
Lineage: Eukaryota; Metazoa; Chordata; Actinopteri; Centrarchiformes; Centrarchidae
Exons: 3
Source: RefSeq, a predicted model, not a curated record